CGCACAUACCGGCCCGAUCUCAUCCUCAUGGAUAUUCAGCUACCCGAAGUUUCCGGUCUCGACGUGACGCGCUGGAUCAAGGCGGAUGUCGACUUGCGUGCCAUCCCCGUGGUCGCGGUAACGGCUUUUGCCAUGAAGGGCGAUGAAGAACGUAUUCGCGAAGGCGGGUGCGAAGCGUAUUUGUCCAAACCGAUCUCGGUUGGGAAGUUUAUUGAGACGGUUCG
This 224-nucleotide unclassified non-coding RNA is filed under the name Hevea brasiliensis (rubber tree). The record is from RNAcentral. Lineage: Eukaryota; Viridiplantae; Streptophyta; Magnoliopsida; Malpighiales; Euphorbiaceae.